RNAcentral lists this ribosomal RNA (301 nucleotides) under uncultured bacterium. RNAcentral describes it as "partial 16S ribosomal RNA". It matches the Rfam family "Bacterial small subunit ribosomal RNA", at positions 509 to 807 of the family's 1533-position model. The record is from RNAcentral.
CAGUAGCCGCGGUAAUACGAACCGUGCGAACGUUAUUCGGAAUUACUGGGCUUAAAGCGCGUGUAGGCGGGCCGCCACGUCGGUUGCUGAAAUCCCCCGGCUCAACCGGGGAAGUGGCAUCGAUACGAGCGGCCUUGAGGGGGGUAGGGGGAUCUGGAACUUCCGGUGGAGCGGUGAAAUGCGUUGAGAUCGGAAGGAACGCCCGUGGCGUAAGCGAGGUCCUGGACCCUUUCUGACGCUGAGACGCGAAAGCCAGGGGAGCGAACGGGAUUAGAUACCCCCGUAGUCCCUGUCUCUUAUA